Molecule: long non-coding RNA, 1185 nt
Filed under: Equus asinus (donkey)
Lineage: Eukaryota; Metazoa; Chordata; Mammalia; Perissodactyla; Equidae
Description: lncRNA (ENSEASG00005024109.1)
Source: RNAcentral
GGACUGGCCGCCAGGUGGGCGCAGGCAGGGGGUAAAAGCCCGCCCUGGGCGGUCCUGAUGGCCUAGUGGUUGAGGUUCCACGCUCUCCGCUUUGGUGGUCAGCGUUCAUUGCCGGUCGCAGAACCACACCACCUGUCUGUCAGUUGCCAUGCUGUGGCAGAGGCCAACGUGCAAGAACUAGAAGACUGGCAACUAAGAUCCACCUCCACCUGGGUAUAAAUCUGGUUUGGGCAGAUUUCCUCCUCCGUUCUCCCCUGAAGCUGCUACCUAGUGCGGAUGACACCACCAGCUGUGCACCACAAGUGACAUCUAACUUGGGACACAGCUCUAGCAACAUUUCCACCAUGGGCAGAGAAGGCCACUGCUGCCCCUCAGCCUGCAGCCUAAGGCCACCAAUCCUGGGAGAUGGCUCCACCACCUCUGGGUUCAAAUGCUGACAAGGGGCCUUGAAGCCACAAAUGAUGAACGACACCACAAACGUUCUCACCGUGAGGUUAAGAAGACAGUCCCUCCUGGACGGAACCGACAGGACAGUAUCCAGGACUUUAAAGGGAAGACUUGACAAGUGCUGCUCCAGCUGCCCUCACGGAUGUUACUCUCAAAAGGAUGAGAACCGGAAGUCGGGCUUCUAGGCUUGUCCAGCCCUCUGCCACACCCAGCUCGCACGUCGGCCUGAUGCACUGGGACACAAACAAUUCCAGGAGGGAAGCCUGCAACACCAACACUUCAGAAUUUGCUCAUUCAUCUUACCUGCCAGUUCUCCAUUUGCUAAUUCAUUUCCUCCUGCACUACUGCCCUGAGACUCAGAUUCCUAAUAUAGUGGAUUCAUCUGUCGAUGCAUUAGUGACAGUCUAGGACAGCAACAGGAUAGUACUAGAAAGAGCCUUCUAAGUUGAAUUAAGCAGAUUUUCCAAGUGUGCUCAUGCGGAUGAGCUUACAUCAAUAUUAUCAUCCUGGUGAGUCACAGCUCCUUCCAGACCCUUCUGAGACUUCUCCAACCACGUGAUUUCUCCACUUAGCUCCACAUACUCAGUGUGCACCUUACUGCAGUUUUCAAUUUCCUGCUGGAACUGAAAAGUCAAAAGCUGCGUUCUUUUUGUCUCGGUCUUGCUCCUGAGACAUUGAGCCUCCUCUGCCCCGUCUCCCUGAACGCUCAAGAAGGAGCAGAGCAGUGGGCUGAGCCCG